UUGAGCCAGGUCCAGGAGAGUCCCCAUCCCCCACCAGCUGAUUGUCUCCUGUUCCGCUUACAGACCACAGGUCUGUUUGCAGAGCCAGACAUAGGACUGAGGGUUCCUGGUGCUGCCGCCAGAGCCCACCCUGUCACUCGGGUGGGUCACAGCCACCAUUCAUGUGAGGGACCCAAGAGAAGACCAGAGAUAGGCUUGGUAAGGGACCAUUCCAAGUGGAUGCUGGAGACAGUCACCUGCCACCCUGCUGCUGGAAGAAGCCAGAUGCGCUCUCCUGAGAGCCCCAAGCUACAACCUUGGUCCAUCACAAGAGCAGAAAUAGAGCUAAGUGGGACCUUCAGCCUCAUCCACUACAGCCUCGGUGGAAACGACUCUCAUCCUCCUUGGGUCUGAGAACUUUGAACUGCUCAUCUAUAAUGGUGGCGAGUCCUCCCUGGUGGUGGGUGGCCUCUGGGAGAUGCCAGGGUCCCUUGGCACCCCAGGAAAGGAAAGCCUUGACCUGGUUGCCAGCUCGAGUGGGCAAAGCUCCACUGUAACUCAGGAGACUCCUCAGUGGCCUGCGAGAGUUACGUUCCCAGGUCCUAUGUUACAGGGGAAACUGAGGGAUCACACUGCUGCCUCCACCGGUCGCUAGGUGACCAGAGCCUCUAGGACCACCUUCUCUCAACUGCAAGCUGAGGUCUUGUAUCCUUACCUUCAGUAGCCUCUGGGCAACUCCCUGAGUGUGGCUCUCAGGAGGUGUCACAACAGGCACAAGAUAAGGGGCCUCUUGAGCUUGGUCUCUCUACACUUACUCUCUCAGAUGGCUUGUGUUGGUUUAUCACUGAGCAUAACCCAGGCUGAGUAGGGAUGAAAGCCACCCUCACCCAGCAAGUCUAUCAAAGGCCUUCAGGACUUUGUCCCCAAUAGGAGCCCCACCUUUCCUUUACAAUGAGUUUUGCUUCCUGACUUUAGAGCCGGGUCACAGUGGCACUAAAUGGGGGGGAGGGGAGGACACCAUCUCCAUUCUGUCUUGUUCCGUUCGCAGAGCCUUGCAGAAAUUCUCCCACCCAUUGACUAAGCAAACUGACAGAUCUCACUGCUGGACUGAGGAGAAGCAGAGGGUGCCUGGUCCCAGACUCUGUGCUAAGAGCUGGCAUGCUAUCUCCUGCCCACUCACCCAGGUCCUUCCACUACGGGACACUGUGACCACAGGUACAGCCAAGUCUUAGAUGAACACUGGUUACAGACAAUGGGGGAAGGAGGGGUGUUUAUCUCUGCAACCAUCCCGGACCUGAGUCACCCAACCUCUCCUUGGUUCCUGGGAAGCCGGAAAGUCACUCCCUCGCGCACGCCAGACCUUGACAGAAACCUACUCUAGCUGGCAAUGACCUCAAGGUCUCCGUUCUCCCCCUUCCAGACUUCCCACCUGGACUCCUUGUGGUCCGGCCUCCAGAAGCAAGCUCAAGGCAUACAGGAAGUCUACUUACUGGCCUC
Non-coding RNA from Myodes glareolus (Bank vole), 1476 nucleotides. NCBI's taxonomy places the organism in Eukaryota, Metazoa, Chordata, Mammalia, Rodentia, Cricetidae. The record is from RefSeq and is a predicted model, not a curated record.